RNAcentral lists this ribosomal RNA (508 nucleotides) under uncultured bacterium. RNAcentral describes it as "partial 16S ribosomal RNA". It matches the Rfam family "Bacterial small subunit ribosomal RNA", at positions 28 to 507 of the family's 1533-position model. The record is from RNAcentral.
GACGAACGCUGGCGGCGUGCCUAAUACAUGCAAGUCGAACGCUUCUUUCCUCCCGAGUGCUUGCACUCAAUUGGAAAGAGGAGUGGCGGACGGGCGAGUAACACGUGGGUAACCUACCCAUCAGAGGGGGAUAACACUUGGAAACAGGUGCUAAUACCGCAUAACAGUUUAUGCCGCAUGGCAUAAGAGUGAAAGGCGCUUUCGGGUGUCGCUGAUGGAUGGACCCGCGGUGCAUUAGCUAGUUGGUGAGGUAACGGCUCACCAAGGCCACGAUGCAUAGCCGACCUGAGAGGGUGAUCGGCCACACUGGGACUGAGACACGGCCCAGACUCCUACGGGAGGCAGCAGUAGGGAAUCUUCGGCAAUGGACGAAAGUCUGACCGAGCAACGCCGCGUGAGUGAAGAAGGUUUUCGGAUCGUAAAACUCUGUUGUUAGAGAAGAACAAGGACGUUAGUAACUGAACGUCCCCUGACGGUAUCUAACCAGAAAGCCACGGCUAACUACGUG